GUUCAGAAGCAACCAACAACAGUCUCUCUUUUUAUUAAUUUCAGGUCUCAGGAGGGAAUCUGAAUGGUGACUGGAAUCUCCACUAUAAAAUCGCUCACACAUGUGCACCAAGAUGUAGGUCCAAGUGUUACUGCAGCUGUUCUAGUUCCAACAAAAACUAGAAACAAUUUAUGUGCACACGCCAGGAAGAACACAAGGACCCAGUGUUACUCGACACAUCUACUGUCUGCUAUAUCUGGGGGUAAAGUGCAGUGUAGUGAUCAAGAGGAAGGCCUACAGCCCAGCUGUCUAAUCUCACCUAUGAGGUCUUUACAUUCUCAUAAAUAUAGCAUAUCCUUGGCACAGCUGUAUGGAUUCAAUAUAUUCUGAAGGAAAAAAGGUAGGGAAUAGUCAUGUAUCCCCAUAUUUGGGUGUAGAGAAGAACACUGACUUAACUGGUAAACCACCCUCUCUUGUGGCACAUCAACUUGAGUUUCUGUAGUCCCAUGAAUGAACUCUUAACUCUUGCAAUUAGCUAAUUUAAUAAGUAUUAUAUUGACUCUCUACCAGGAGUAGAUUCUUUAGGGAAGAAAUAUUAACAAAUUGACUAAUAGUUUGAAUUUUCAUUACGUUACAUAAUGUUUGGUUUCAUAUCAAGAAACAGGUUGCAGAUGUUAGGUUUUUUUUUUUCCGAAUAGUAAUCAAUGUCAAUUUAUGAUGCUUAUGGGUAUUUUUUUUUGAGAAUGUAGAAGAUUUUAUCUGAAAUCAGUGAGCUGUCUUGAUGUUUCUUGUUUUUUACUUUUUCCUGACCAGUUACGAAAAUUGCUUGACAUGUCAUAUAAAGACAAAGAAUUCAGGCAUGCAAUAGAUAUUGACUUGUAUAUUUUUCACUAACAUUUGCUGACCUUUUGGGUCAAUAUGUUUUGAAAUUUACUUAACAAGCCAAUGUAACUUAUUUCAAUUUAAUUUAAAUUGCUUUAAAUUGCCAGAGCUUUUCCUUUUCCUUUUUUACAAAUACAAAACUAUUGCCAGAAUAUAUUAACAUGUAUGUUUUUAAAAAAAGUUUCCUUGGGAAUCAGAAGUGUCUCACAUUAUUAUAGGUUGUUUUUUUUCUUUUCAAAAUAAUAGAAGCAUAUUUAAAAUGACCCUUUGUCUUUCCCUCCUUCAUCUCAUGUGCCCUUAUUUCCUUUAAAGAGCUAUAAUGUCUAGAAAGCUGUACAAACAAUUAAGCUAAAUCAUUUUGUAAGCGGUUCUAUGAAAUGCAAGAGUGAUUUUUUUCUUAAAGUCCAAAUGUGUAACUCAGCUUACAUGAGCAUAUAAGCAUAUUUUGCUUAAAUUACAUUUCCAUCUGACAAUAUUAAUUUCAUCAAGGAAGCUUAGUAUAAAAUUAAUUAUAGCUAUCAUUUAUGUUAUUUCAUCUUCCCCUUCCAUUGAAGCUUCAAUGAGAAUUCAUCAACUGAAGGGCAUGAUUCACAUUUUAACAACAAUAAUAAAGAAAAUAACCAAAACUACUUUUUUUCCCUC
Molecule: long non-coding RNA, 1503 nt
Filed under: Vulpes vulpes (red fox)
Lineage: Eukaryota; Metazoa; Chordata; Mammalia; Carnivora; Canidae
Description: lncRNA (ENSVVUG00000027472.1)
Source: RNAcentral